CCUACGGGAGGCAGCAGUGGGGAAUUUUGGACAAUGGGCGAAAGCCUGAUCCAGCAAUGCCGCGUGAGUGAAGAAGGCCUUCGGGUUGUAAAGCUCUUUUGUCAGGGAAGAAACGGUGAGAGCUAAUAUCUUUUGCUAAUGACGGUACCUGAAGAAUAAGCACCGGCUAACUACGUGCCAGCAGCCGCGGUAAUACGUAGGGUGCAAGCGUUAAUCGGAAUUACUGGGCGUAAAGCGUGCGCAGGCGGUUUUGUAAGUCUGAUGUGAAAUCCCCGGGCUCAACCUGGGAAUUGCAUUGGAGACUGCAAGGCUAGAAUCUGGCAGAGGGGGGUAGAAUUCCACGUGUAGCAGUGAAAUGCGUAGAUAUGUGGAGGAACACCGAUGGCGAAGGCAGCCCCCUGGGUCAAGAUUGACGCUCAUGCACGAAAGCGUGGGGAGCAAACAGGAUUAGAUACCCUGGUAGUCCACGCCCUAAACGAUGUCUACUAGUUGUCGGGUCUUAAUUGACUUGGUAACGCAGCUAACGCGUGAAGUAGACCGCCUGGGGAGUACGGUCGCAAGNUUAAAACCNGAAGAUGAGNGNGAGAGAGCGAGAGACGAGAGGAGAGG
RNAcentral lists this ribosomal RNA (609 nucleotides) under uncultured bacterium. RNAcentral's name for it is "bacterial SSU rRNA". It matches the Rfam family "Bacterial small subunit ribosomal RNA", at positions 338 to 944 of the family's 1533-position model. The record is from RNAcentral.